RNAcentral lists this ribosomal RNA (256 nucleotides) under uncultured bacterium. Its description in RNAcentral is "partial 16S ribosomal RNA". It matches the Rfam family "Bacterial small subunit ribosomal RNA", at positions 524 to 776 of the family's 1533-position model. The record is from RNAcentral.
UACGAAGGGUGCAAGCGUUACUCGGAAUUACUGGGCGUAAAGCGUGCGUAGGUGGUUUGUUAAGUCUGAUGUGAAAUCCCCCGGGCUCAACCUGGGAAUGGCAUUGGAUACUGGCAGGCUAGAGUGCGGUAGAGGGUGGUGGAAUUCCCGGUGUAGCAGUGAAAUGCGUAGAGAUCGGGAGGAACAUCUGUGGCGAAGGCGGCCACCUGGACCAGCACUGACACUGAGGCACGAAAAGCGUGGGGGAGCAAACAGG